AUUCCAGCUCCAAUAGCGUAUAUUAAAGUUGUUGCAGUUAAAAAGCUCGUAGUUGGAUUUCGGAAUGGGUCAGUUGGUCCGCCUCACGGUGUGUUACUGACUGGUCUGUUCUUCUUCGCAAAGACUGUGUAUUCUCUUCAUUGAGUGUGCUCAGGAUUUACGACGUUUACUUUGAAAAAAUUAGAGUGUUCAAAGCAGGCCUACCGCUUGAAUACAUGAGCAUGGAAUAAUGGAAUAGGACUUUGGUCUUAUUUUGUUGGUUUCUAAGACCGAAGUAAUGAUUAAGAGGGACAGUUGGGGGCAUUAGUAUUUCGUUGUCAGAGGUGAAAUUCUUGGAUUUACGAAAGACUAACAACUGCGAAAGCAUUUGCCAAGAAUGUUUUCAUCG
Molecule: ribosomal RNA, 388 nt
Filed under: Aglaura sp.
Lineage: Eukaryota; Metazoa; Cnidaria; Hydrozoa; Trachymedusae; Rhopalonematidae
Description: partial small subunit ribosomal RNA
Rfam family: Eukaryotic small subunit ribosomal RNA
Source: RNAcentral